RNAcentral lists this RNase P RNA (415 nucleotides) under uncultured Prevotella sp. RNAcentral's name for it is "Bacterial RNase P class A". It matches the Rfam family "Bacterial RNase P class A". From Rfam's summary of the family: Ribonuclease P (RNase P) is a ubiquitous endoribonuclease, found in archaea, bacteria and eukarya as well as chloroplasts and mitochondria. Its best characterised activity is the generation of mature 5'-ends of tRNAs by cleaving the 5'-leader elements of precursor-tRNAs. The record is from RNAcentral. Lineage: Bacteria; Pseudomonadati; Bacteroidota; Bacteroidia; Bacteroidales; Prevotellaceae.
GGCCUGCCGCUGGCGGCCCAUAGUGGCGCGAGAGGAAAGUCCGGGCAGCACAGGGCACCCCACUUCCGAAAAUAGAAGCUGCCGGCGACGGUAGGUUAGGGUAGAAGAAAACGACCGCCAUUCCUUUUCCUGAAAUAUGGAGCUGUUCUUGGAAUGGCAAGGGUGAGAAGGCGGUGUAAGAGACCACCAGGCGGCGGGCGAUCGUCGUGCUGUACCCGCUGGGGGCUGCAAGUUCAAGUAAACCGUUCCGAGAGAGGAUGGCCCGUCCGAGUCGACGAAGGCUUGAGCAGCAAUGCAACAGAGCCGGGGCUCGUGCGGCGGAGGGUAGAACGCUUGAGCCGUGGGGUGACUCACGGCGUAGAUAAAUGGCAGGCGCUGCACCACAUGAGGCAGCACAGAACCCGGCUUAUAGGAA